This 265-nucleotide long non-coding RNA is filed under the name Homo sapiens (human). RNAcentral describes it as "HSALNT0052435". The record is from RNAcentral. Lineage: Eukaryota; Metazoa; Chordata; Mammalia; Primates; Hominidae.
CGAGAGAGCCUCUCCAGGGAGCAGCGUACGCAGUCCAGAAGGCUGCAGUAUUUCCUCCAAGAACAAAAAUCAUAAUUGCUUGGCAGAGUUUUUUCCCACCAAUGAUAAUAUUCUGUCAUGUCUAUCAGCUGCUACAUUAUAAUACAAAUUGUUUCAGAUAAAAUAUAUUUCCUUAAAGGGUCCCUUUUCAAGGCGGGCGAGGCUAAAAUUAGAUGUGCCAGCUGUGUUUUGCUGCGAGUGCUCACGCAUGCCCAAAGCGUGGGCA